UCCUCGGUAGCUCAGUGGCAGAGCAAUCGGCUGUUAACCGAUCGGUCGCUGGUUCGAAUCCAGCCCGGGGAG
This 72-nucleotide transfer RNA is filed under the name Cyclonatronum proteinivorum. It matches the Rfam family "tRNA". Rfam says of the family: Transfer RNA (tRNA) molecules are approximately 80 nucleotides in length. Their secondary structure includes four short double-helical elements and three loops (D, anti-codon, and T loops). Further hydrogen bonds mediate the characteristic L-shaped molecular structure. tRNAs have two regions of fundamental functional importance: the anti-codon, which is responsible for specific mRNA codon recognition, and the 3' end, to which the tRNAs corresponding amino acid is attached (by aminoacyl-tRNA synthetases). tRNAs cope with the degeneracy of the genetic code in two manners: having more than one tRNA (with a specific anti-codon) for a particular amino acid; and 'wobble' base-pairing, i.e. permitting non-standard base-pairing at the 3rd anti-codon position. The record is from Rfam by way of RNAcentral. Lineage: Bacteria; Pseudomonadati; Balneolota; Balneolia; Balneolales; Cyclonatronaceae. RNAcentral also lists the same sequence under 4 other names.